CUUAAUCAGCACAGGAAGUGAAAGUCACUAAAUUAUUUCUGUUCCAAGCUCCACUUUGGGCCAUUAAUUCCUCCCUCUGGCUGCCCUGGUGGCCUACCCUGGCCCUGAUCUAGCAUCAGCACAGCCUCCCUUCGCAUCCUGACCUUGACAGUGUACUUGUCUGCUUCCAGAACUGAACCAGAAGCCUUUAGAAGGCAGGGUCUGUCUCUUUGCUCAGGACACGGCCCCUGUGGGUCCAGCCCCUGAUGUGGGACACUGCUGUAAUACUUGUGGGAAAAAAAUGGAUACAUUAACCAAAUUCAAAAAUUGCCGCUCCCCUUUCUAUGAAUAAAUCUGGGAGCUCCCAACCUUCCAGCUAGAAAGGCACGGAGGCAAAGUGGUGUUCAAGGCAGCAUAUCCAUUCUGCUUAAUGCCUCUGGCUUCUUGGAAGGUUGUCCCAGAGCCAGCAAGACGAGAUGUUUUCUUUCCUUUUUUCUUUGGAUCCUAAAUUAUUUCUGAAAGUUACAGCAUUUUGGAUUUGUAUUGUUUAUUAGCUGUCACUUUUGUUUUUCCCCCCCUUCUCUGGACCUGGUUGAACUUGACGGUCCCCUCUGAAGCUGUUCCUCAUAUGGAAAGUUCCCCCGUCAGCGCACCAUAAAUAAUCAAGGCCGGGUGCAUUCCAUGGCCUUCUCUGGCUUCGUUCUCCCUCCAGCCUCCCAUCUGCACGGCUCCAGGUUCCUGUGGUCCCGGUGACAUGCUUGCUGGCAAGCAAUGCUCAGCUUCAUGUAUUUAUUGGGAUUCUCAGAUCUGGACUGGUUUGCUCCAUUCAAGCUGCUGACAUGCUUUGUGAGUUGAAAAAAGGCUUUACUGGAUUCAUCUGAGCUGACAUUCGGAAUGGCCUCAGCGACGUUGUGAAAGAGGAAAAUGUUGUCUCACCCCUCAGCUUGAGCCUCUGCUACCUGACAGGACCGCACCAUGGCCCUCAGGUACCUACAGUCAGUUUGAUUUCAUAAAAAUAAUACAGAUAAAAUGGUGUGACAGAAAUCUGGUCCUCUGAAGAAGAUGCAAAUUCUGACCGCAUUGGAACCUUCCAGAACCAACAGCCCUCCUCUCCUCUCCACCCUCUCGCCAUCCCCUUGCCUAUGAGAAGCAGACCAUGCCUGGCCAAUUUCUCUGCGCACGUGGGUGUGACCUCGUCCUCCAGGCUUCACUGUCUGGUUCCAUGUUCUGCCCUCUGCCAGGCCUGUGGUAUAACUGGUCAGAGACUCUGGCGGAAGAAAGAGCCGCCUGGAUUUGAAAGCCAUCUGUAUCCUUCCAUCAUCUCCAGGGCGUGCUUCUGAAAGGAGACCGAGUCUCUCAUCUCUGCCGCCUCCCAGGUCAGGUCCCCAGCACCGCCACGAAGGCUGAAAUUCUGCUUGUCACGUGGCUGUCACGUGGCCCAGACCCCUCAAAGCCCUCAUCAUCUCAUACGGAAAAUCAUAAUCACAGUACUGCUGGUACCUCUGAGGGCCUGUGUUACUGAAGAGGGCAAGCUUCUGCCAGACUCACUAAGGACUGGUGCUUCUGUGGGUCCUGUGGGAUUCGUCGGGGAUGUCAGUCGAGCGGGAAGAUUUCCACAUCACAGAGUCCAUGGCCAUGCUGGACACUGAUUGGCCUCCUGGUUGACCUCCCAGAAGAGAAAAAGCUCUGGGCCCCAAAGCUGAGCGGUUGGCUGAAGAGUUGAGACAAUAGUGGGAAACCGUGCUGUGUCCAGCCCAGGCUUGCUCUCUGCUGGGGAGCAAGGAUGAAGUUUUGUGGGAGAGUUCCAGAAUAGUGUGGCUGUAUAAGUGGUUAUUCCUCACUGGAUACCCCCCUCUGGCUCUUGGAGCAUCCUCAGAUCACUUCUGGAAAACGAAAUGCAAACUUGUUGAGAUUCCACUUCUUUGUAAUCUUCUUGCUGUGGAAAUUGAAGAAGCCCAUGGAAGAUUCCAGUUUCCUAAAGCAAGAAUAUAUUAAACUCAUUUCGUCUGUCAUCCGAGGAGAAUUGGAGCCUGCAUUUUUAUUACCACUGAUGUGUGUUCAUCCUUGGAUUUUUUUUUUUUUUGAA
Molecule: long non-coding RNA, 2065 nt
Organism: Phacochoerus africanus (Common warthog)
Lineage: Eukaryota; Metazoa; Chordata; Mammalia; Artiodactyla; Suidae
Exons: 6
Source: RefSeq, a predicted model, not a curated record